Long non-coding RNA from Mus musculus (house mouse), 277 nucleotides. RefSeq annotates it as predicted gene, 53547. The record is from RefSeq and is a predicted model, not a curated record. The transcript has 3 exons. Lineage: Eukaryota; Metazoa; Chordata; Mammalia; Rodentia; Muridae.
AAUCUCCAGAGAACACCUUGAAGAGGGAGACAAAGAAGAUUUGGAAGAAAUUCCAGUGUAUCUUCUGCAUACAGCAAGCAUGGGAUGGACCUAAGCCCCCUUCAUACAUGUAACUGAUAUGCAGCUUGGUGUUUAUGUGAGGCCCUUAACAACUGAAGGGAUUUCUCCAGCUGGACAGCCUUGUCUAACCUCAACAGGAGAAGAUGCACAUAGUCCUACUGCAACCUAAUAUGCCAAGGCAGCAAGAAUGACACGACCACCAGUUCUUCAAACAGCA